This 253-nucleotide ribosomal RNA is filed under the name uncultured bacterium. RNAcentral's name for it is "partial 16S ribosomal RNA". It matches the Rfam family "Bacterial small subunit ribosomal RNA", at positions 524 to 776 of the family's 1533-position model. The record is from RNAcentral.
UACGUAGGGGGCAAGCGUUGUCCGGAUUUAUUGGGCGUAAAGAGCGUGUAGGCGGCCAGGUAGGUCUGCUGUGAAAACUCGAGGCUCAACCUCGAGACGUCGGCGGAAACCAUCUGGCUAGAGUCCGGAAGAGGAGAGUGGAAUUCCUGGUGUAGCGGUGAAAUGCGCAGAUAUCAGGAAGAACACCCGUGGCGAAGGCGGCUCUCUGGGACGGUACUGACGCUAAGACGCGAAAGCGUGGGGAGCGAACAGG